UGUGGGCUAAGUUUGGAUGAGCGGCAUACACAGGACCAGCUACUUUCAGCAAUUCCUCCAAAAAACCAGCCUCCUGUACCCAUCAUAAAUGACUUUGCAGCAUCACCAUCCCAGAAAGAAAACAACUUGAACUGGGAGAGACAAAGAAAACAUGCUGAGGACUACAAAAAGCCUGGCCACGCCAGGAGAGACUUUCUUCUAUAUCCAUGUACCAGCUCUGUGGGUGAAGGGGGGAGGGUGACAGCAGCCUUUCAAAGUCCAGUUUAUGGUCCAGUUGUAAGAUUUGUUAAGAAUAUGAUUCUCUGGACAAGUACUGCUAAUUCAAUGUAUGUCUAUAAACAAUAAACAAAACCAUGACCAUAUCUAUUCUCAUAUCAAAAUCACACUCCUGUUUACUGGUUAGGAAGAUAUGCAUAAUUUGAAUUAAGCCAUUGGAUUUAGUGUUCUCCAGAAGGGUACAAGUAUAUUAAAGUGAUAUUAACUGAAUCAAAGCAAAUGUAUAUUAGUGUAAUAAUAGUGAUGUAUAACAAACAAUGAAUAAGGGGGAAAUGUAUUAAAGCACAAAUUUGUAAUGCAAAGUUAUCAAAGUGGGAACUUCAGUGUAUUAUAAUAUGAUCAUGAGAAAGAUAUUCAACUUAAAAAGUGGAAAAAAUAAAAUAUAGGACAAGAAAUUGACAUACCAUCACAGGAAGGUAAAUAAGAAGUAGUUAAGAGUAUGGUUGAAAAUCAGUUAAUAGAAUAAUGACUUAAUGUAACUGAUUUAUUUCCACAGGUCUCUUGUAUACUGGAAAAAAUCUGGGAAGCAAAGGAUUUAUGGGAUAUGAUGGAAAAAAGCUUUACAAAGCCAGUAGGAUACAUCCAUUAUGUUUAAGAAUCACAUUAGAAUUAUACUUUUAAGUAAAAUAAUUGGUCAAGAAAUAGUUUUCAUAAAAAGAAUAAAUGCAGAUGAUAACAACAUGCAAGAUUAAGAAGAUGUAUUAAUUGUUAAAAGAUGUAGAGAACAAAGUACUAAUUGAAGUAUCCAAUUAAUGACAUUGUAAGACUAACCAGUUGAUAUCCAGAUCCACAUUGCUAACAAAUGUUUUCCCAGAUGACAAAUACUGUAAUUGAUCUUUGCUUUAUAUAUUUAAAUAUUCAAAAAGAAGAAAUAUUUGUAUGUUUUUAUGAAAUUAAACAAUAUACAAUUUGGUAUAGGAACAAAGAGGCUUUCAAAAUAAUGAGGGAAUAUAUAGUCAAUGUACUGGACAAGUGGGGUUAAUUUCUGCUACAAUAUUAUUAAAUUAAUUGGCAAUCAUAAAAGAUUAAACUUAUAUAAAAAUGAAUGAUAAUUUUAUUAAUGGUAACAACACAGCAGAUUUGGAAGCUAAAGAAGUCUCAGAAUGCCAUACAGAAGUAGUGCUUCUAGUGUUAAUACAAAAGCCUUUCUUAGAAGAUAGAAGGAAAAAAAAAAAACACGCUGGAUGUUAGGAAUAUUUUGUGGCACCUUAAGGGGGACAAAGAAAGACAUUCAUGACAUCUAAUGUACACAUUGGGGAUAAAUCAUUCUAUAGUACAGUAAAAUGUUACCUUUCCAGAUGGGUGGUUUUAAUUUCAAAUUAAAAACAGGUAUAAAAGAACUAAUUACAAUUAAAGAUUAAAAAGAGGAAAAAUUGGUAUUAUUCUCCAUAUGUGAAAAAAUGGUCUCAAUAUUUGAGUACAUUUCUGGUUGAGUUUCUGUUCAACAGGUAAAGCUAGUGCCAAACAAUAAGGAUAAAAAAUAUAGAAGAAGUAAUCCCUAGAUCAGCAUUUAUUUAAAAACAAUAAAGUGAAUACUGCAACAAUAAAGAACAAAGAAAAGACUAAGAUGUGUUUACCAUCCUUAAUCAUAAAAAGUAUACCAUCCCUUCAAUGUCAAACUCAGCAAAAAAUGUGAAAGCAUGAAACUGAACUGACUGGAUGCUUUGUCUCUUGCAAUAAUGAGUGACAGACUGCAAACUAACACUGCAUGGAAUGCUUAUUGGUCGACCAAUGGCAAUACCAAUGUCUGAGCUAUAUGAUAUAACAAAAAUUCAUCCCCAAAAAGGACAUCCUCUGGAACAACUGCAGAUGGAGCUUUUGGAACAAUUACAAAUAAAGAUGAGAUCUUAUGUGAUAAAACUAAUUGUAUGCAUAAGCUAUUUGUGUGCAGGGAAAAAGAAAAGGAGCCUGAUGAGGAGAUGGAGAUAAAAUGCCAUAUUAUGCCAUGGGAUCUAGUGUAUCUGAGGGUCUUCAGGAGAGAGUGACAUAAAACAAGGACCAAGGAGAGCAGCUCUAACAGCAGGCCAAGGGGGAAGGAGCACAUCUGAUGUCAUCUGAGCCAUUGCACAGAGUUCCUAAAAUACUAGUCGGAGAAGAGGACAACAAAAACACGAUACAGAAGAGGAGAGCUGGGGAGAAAAGGAGAACUUAAACACAAUAAUGAAGAGGAGAGGUGAGGAAAAGAAAAUAAUAAAAGACAUGAUACAGAAGACAACAACAGAAAAAUUAAAAGCAAUUCAAGCCUACAAAGAGAUAAAAGAACGAAGUAAUGACCACUCAGGGCAUAUCAAGCAACAACAACAAAGUUAAGAAAAAUUUGUAAAUGAGAAGAGACUUUCAGGAGCAACAACCAAUGAGUGCAAAGCAGUGGAGUUCACAAGCAAUACACAGGGACAAAGCUGCUGAUAAUGUGUAAAGGACACACAAGGAAAAGUUCAAGGAAUUAGCCAUGGAAAUUGAAAAAUAAAGCUAAUAACCAGUUUGACAAUUAUCAGCAACAUAUGGUAAAUUCACACGACUACAAUCAAUAAUCAAACUUCUCUUCAAUUAACUUUUCACCUAUCAGCAAGGAUCAGUAACACUUCAGCGAGGACCAGUAACACCAGUGAGAAUUUAUUCUACAAUAAUCUCUGCAGAACCAAAAUUUAGAUAAAAUACUGAAGAUACCAAAACAAAAAGGAGACAAGGACAUCAACAGAAGAAAAAGGACGUCAACGGAAGGAAAAAAAAAAAGUUGGACAUUUUAUGGGAAACAACAAAAAACAUAAUGAAUAGUACAAAUGGGUAAUUUUCAAAGCUAAGAGAAAUUGGUAUGAACAAUUGCUUAUUAUGCUCUGAAUUAUGAAAGGUAAUAAUAAUCAAAAGUCAACAUGAUAUUAUAGGGGUGUUCAAUUUAACAAAUUGACAAAUUCUGGUUUAAAUAUCAAUUUUAUAGGGCAUAUUUUGGUAAAUAGUCUCAAUUUUGGAAAGUUAAUAAAAGCAUUAAAAUAGAAAAAAGGCAGAAUAGGAAAAAAAAAAAAAUACUAAAGAUUAUGAAUGCUACAGUAAACCUGAUGGAACUAAAGAUGAGGGAUAUUUAAAGGGAAUAUUCUAUAACACAGAACUUGAACAAAUCAAAUAUAAAAUUCCAAAAGCUAUUAUAAAUCCUUAACAAUUUUGGCUUUAGGUAUGGAAAGGGUGGACAAUGCUGGUAUACAGUAAAAAGAAUGUGGGAAUCAGAUCAUAGCACUGGACAUAUGAAGAUCAAACAGUAAUGUUAGCGGAAUUAUUUUGGUUUAAUUUUGAUUUGAUGGGAAAUUAUAACUUAUGGUAGUUUUGCAAUUGGAGAAGAAAUAUAUAUGUACUAGAUUAAGGUUAAUUCAAUAAAUCAUCAUGGUUUUAAGUUUGAACAAAAUACAGAGAAAACAAAUGAUAAAACUAAAAUAGUUUAUCCCUAAAUUGGUUUGGUAUUACCAUAUGUUACAAUUUAAGCAAGAGAUGAGAUAAAAUCAUGAUUAGAAUAAAUAUUGAUUUAAUCUAGAAUUACUAAAUUAUAUCUACUAUAAUCAACACAGGUUUAUUAAAUUUAACUAAUGAUGUUUUAACAAUUUUAGAAAAACAAUGAGAUACUACAAAGGGGUAUAGUUUUAUUGUACGGAGAUUAAUGUUAUGCUAAAAAUACAACAUAGAUAUUCAUUGAAGCUAUCAAUAAGCUUAAGAGUUUAGGAUAGAAACUGCAACAAAUACAGGAAGAAAAAAUCUUAAUGUGGAAUUGGUGUGAUUUAAAAUUAGGAAAAUGGGUGAUUGGUUUGUCAAAUUAUCAAAGAUAUAUUUUGGUAUGUCAAAUGAUUUAUAGGUUAAAUGAUGCAAAUGAUUAAAGGUAUAGGUUAAAGGAUGAAUAUUAUCAAAGGUAUAAGGUAAAUGAUGCAAAUUAUCAGAGGUUAAGGAUUUGCAAGUUUAAUUGGAUGAAUUGUUAUUUUACUGUGUACUUCCUAUAUUGAAACAAAUGUUAAUGUUGAAAUAUCAAGAUGAAAAGUUACUUCAUAUAGGAAAUUACAAAGUGCAUCAAAAAUGGGUUUUGCAAAAGUUUGAAAAUGGUAAUACUACAUCAGAAAAAGAUAAUAAGAAUUGAAAAGGUAUUUGACUAAUUUCCACUCUUAUGAUGAAUAUGGAUGUUUUUAUGAGUUCUGAUUUUACAGCAACAAUGACAUAAUGAAGUAUAUUCUAUGAUCAUAAAGGUUUAUUAAUUGAAGGAGUAGGUUCUUUUACUUCUCCAAGAGAAGAUGUUUGUUCCACACUCCACCAAAGUGCGGCAGCAUGAUUUAGUCAUUGGUAAGGGAAAGAUGGCUUAGUUGGGCCAUUAAUUAGCUUAACUUAAUUGAACUGGAUUAUGAAGUUGCACUUUGGGUGAGACUUGUGAAAGUCUCAAAGGGUGGAAUGAAGAAGAUUUUUUAAUUCAGAACUAUAUCUUUGGUGAACAUGGUAUUCAGAUUCAAAUGUGUUUUGCAAGUAUGUAUGUCUCAUGCUUGUAAGCUGAAGACUAGCAGUCUUAAAGACUGCAAUGUAUGCAGUGUUUAAAAUAUGGUAACUGAGAGCAGAGCUAAAAAUGCAUAGGCUGACAUUUGGAAGGAAUGAAGUUACCACACCUGUCAAACAUAAAAACAUGCUAAAAACAACUACAUGGGAGGGGUUUCAACUUUUAGAGAACUGUAUAUUAGGUUGCAUUCUGAAAAAGACUCUUUAGUUGCUUGGCCACCAACUCGGCCUUAUUGUUGUAUGCAAUAAAGUCAUCUUUUGGCAAUGGAA
This is a long non-coding RNA of Paramisgurnus dabryanus, 5061 nucleotides long. RefSeq lists it as uncharacterized. The record is from RefSeq and is a predicted model, not a curated record. Lineage: Eukaryota; Metazoa; Chordata; Actinopteri; Cypriniformes; Cobitidae.